CCUACGGGCGGCUGCAGUGAGGAAUAUUGGUCAAUGGUCGGGAGACUGAACCAGCCAAGCCGCGUGAGGGAUGAAGGUACAGAGUAUCGUAAACCUCUUUUGUCAGGGAACAAAGGCGGGGACGCGUCCCCGGAUGAGUGUACCUGAAGAAAAAGCAUCGGCUAACUCCGUGCCAGCAGCCGCGGUAAUACGGAGGAUGCGAGCGUUAUCCGGAUUUAUUGGGUUUAAGGGGUGCGCAGGCGGUCUGUUAAGUCGGCGGUCAAAGCCCGGGGCUCAACCCCGGCCCGCCGUUGAAACUGGCAGUCUCUAGGUGGAGAGAAGUAUGCGGAAUGCGCGGUGUAGCGGGGAAAUGCAUAGGUAUCGCGCAGAACUCCGAUUGCGAAGGCAGCAUGCCGGCUCCACACUGACGCUGAGGCACGAAAGCGUGGGUAUCGAACAGGAUUAGAUACCCUUGUAGUC
This 459-nucleotide ribosomal RNA is filed under the name uncultured bacterium. RNAcentral's name for it is "partial 16S ribosomal RNA". It matches the Rfam family "Bacterial small subunit ribosomal RNA", at positions 338 to 795 of the family's 1533-position model. The record is from RNAcentral.